GUGACUUGGAAUAAGGUUCUAGUAAAAGUGCUUUAAAAUUUAUAAUAUACUUUCCUUACAUAAACCCUUUGAGGUAAGUAACAUAAGCAUCAUUAUUUCCUUUUUAUAGACAAGAAAGCUGUGUUUCAGAGAAGUUAAAUGAUUUGUGUAUGUUUACACAACUACUAAGUGUCAGAGUACAGUGAUGCGGAUAAUGGAUUCCAAAGAGCUACUGAAGCAAGUCUGGAAUUUGAUGGAUCCAUCUUGGAGAAUGUUUACAUUGUUUAUGCUAUUGUAAACAAUUUGAAUCUUUUUUUAAAGGAGAGACAGAAAUUGCUUUCUGAGGACAGCCCCACCCAACAAUUAUCCUGGAGUUUCAGGUAAUGGAGCUCAACAUUUCUGUGGUUUACGUUAGGGCUAUUCUGACUUUCUUUUCAAAAAUCAAAGACUUUGCC
Molecule: long non-coding RNA, 434 nt
Filed under: Monodelphis domestica (gray short-tailed opossum)
Lineage: Eukaryota; Metazoa; Chordata; Mammalia; Didelphimorphia; Didelphidae
Description: lncRNA (ENSMODG00000038236.1)
Source: RNAcentral